Molecule: ribosomal RNA, 435 nt
Filed under: uncultured bacterium
Lineage: Bacteria
Description: bacterial SSU rRNA
Rfam family: Bacterial small subunit ribosomal RNA
Source: RNAcentral
AACGAACGCUGGCGGCAUGCCUAACACAUGCAAGUCGAACGAGGCCCUUCGGGGUUUAGUGGCGCACGGGUGCGUAACGCGUGGGAAUCUGCCCUUUGGUUCGGAAUAACAGCUGGAAACGGCUGCUAAUACCGGAUGAUGACGAAAGUCCAAAGAUUUAUCGCCAGAGGAUGAGCCCGCGUUGGAUUAGGUAGUUGGUGGGGUAAAGGCCUACCAAGCCGACGAUCCAUAGCUGGUCUGAGAGGAUGAUCAGCCACACUGGGACUGAGACACGGCCCAGACUCCUACGGGAGGCAGCAGUGGGGAAUAUUGGACAAUGGGCGCAGGCCUGAUCCAGCAAUGCCGCGUGAGUGAUGAAGGCCCUAGGGUUGUAAAGCUCUUUUACCCGGGAAGAUAAUGACUGUACCGGGAGAAUAAGCCCCGGCUAACUCCGUG